Molecule: ribosomal RNA, 362 nt
Filed under: Escherichia coli
Lineage: Bacteria; Pseudomonadati; Pseudomonadota; Gammaproteobacteria; Enterobacterales; Enterobacteriaceae
Description: partial 23S ribosomal RNA
Rfam family: Bacterial large subunit ribosomal RNA
Source: RNAcentral
GGUUAAGCGACUAAGCGUACACGGUGGAUGCCCUGGCAGUCAGAGGCGAUGAAGGACGUGCUAAUCUGCGAUAAGCGUCGGUGAGGUGAUAUGAACCGUUAUAACCGGCGAUUUCCGAAUGGGGAAACCCAGUGUGUUUCGACACACUAUCAUUAACUGAAUCCAUAGGUUAAUGAGGCGAACCGGGGGAACUGAAACAUCUAAGUACCCCGAGGAAAAGAAAUCAACCGAGAUUCCCCCAGUAGCGGCGAGCGAACGGGGAGGAGCCCAGAGCCUGAAUCAGUGUGUGUGUUAGUGGAAGCGUCUGGAAAGGCGUGCGAUACAGGGUGACAGCCCCGUACACAAAAAUGCACAUAUUGUGA